UCGUCACACUAUCAUUAACUGAAUCCAUAGGUUAAUGAGGCGAACCGGGGGAACUGAAACAUCUAAGUACCCCGAGGAAAAGAAAUCAACCGAGAUUCCCCCAGUAGCGGCGAGCGAACGGGGAGGAGCCCAGAGCCUGAAUCAGCAUGUGUGUUAGUGGAAGCGUCUGGAAAGGCGCGCGAUACAGGGUGACAGCCCCGUACACAAAAGCGCAUGUGCUGUGAGCUCGAUGAGUAGGGCGGGACACGUGGUAUCCUGUCUGAAUAUGGGGGGACCAUCCUCCAAGGCUAAAUACUCCUGACUGACCGAUAGUGAACCAGUACCGUGAGGGAAAGGCGAAAAGAACCCCGGCGAGGGGAGUGAAAAAGAACCUGAAACCGUGUACGUACAAGCAGUGGGAGCCCCACCACCAAAGCAUUUGCUGUACCGCGUUGACGGAGCGAAGCGACGUCAAACCGAUAAAACAGCAGUGUAAAGUGAGCCGCAGGGCGCUUUGCGCGACAGCGCAAAGGCAGGCGGUUUCGCGUAGCGAAAGCGAAUGCUUUGGGGUGGGGUGACUGCGUACCUUUUGUAUAAUGGGUCAGCGACUUAUAUUCUGUAGCAAGGUUAACCGAAUAGGGGAGCCGGAGGGAAACCGAGUCUUAAUUGGGCGUUAAGUUGCAGGGUAUAGACCCGAAACCCGGUGAUCUAGCCAUGGGCAGGUUGAAGGUUGGGUAACACUAACUGGAGGACCGAACCGACUAAUGUUGAAAAAUUAGCGGAUGACCUGUGGCUGGGGGUGAAAGGCCAAUCAAACCGGGAGAUAGCUGGUUCUCCCCGAAAGCUAUUUAGGUAGCGCCUCGUGAAUUCAUCUCCGGGGGUAGAGCACUGUUUCGGCUAGGGGGCCAUCCCGGCUUACCAACCCGAUGCAAACUGCGAAUACCGGAGAAUGUUAUCACGGGAGACACACGGCGGGUGCUAACGUCCGUCGUGAAGAGGGAAACAACCCAGACCGCCAGCUAAGGUCCCAAAGUCAUGGUUAAGUGGGAAACGAUGUGGGAAGGCCCAGACAGCCAGGAUGUUGGCUUAGAAGCAGCCAUCAUUUAAAGAAAGCGUAAUAGCUCACUGGUCGAGUCGGCCUGCGCGGAAGAUGUAACGGGGCUAAACCAUGCACCGAAGCUGCGGCAGCGACACUGUGUGUUGUUGGGUAGGGGAGCGUUCUGUAAGCCUGCGAAGGUGGCCUGUGAGGGUUGCUGGAGGUAUCAGAAGUGCGAAUGCUGACAUAAGUAACGAUAAAGCGGGUGAAAAGCCCGCUCGCCGGAAGACCAAGGGUUCCUGUCCAACGUUAAUCGGGGCAGGGUGAGUCGACCCCUAAGGCGAGGCCGAAAGGCGUAGUCGAUGGGAAACGGGUUAAUAUUCCCGUACUUGGUGUUACUGCGAAGGGGGGACGGAGAAGGCUAUGUUGGCCGGGCGACGGUUGUCCCGGUUUAAGCGUGUAGGUGUGUGUUCCAGGUAAAUCCGGUUCACUUUAACACUGAGGCGUGACGACGAGGCACUACGGUGCUGAAGCAACAAAUGCCCUGCUUCCAGGAAAAGCCUCUAAGCAUCAGGUAACAUCAAAUCGUACCCCAAACCGACACAGGUGGUCAGGUAGAGAAUACCAAGGCGCUUGAGAGAACUCGGGUGAAGGAACUAGGCAAAAUGGUGCCGUAACUUCGGGAGAAGGCACGCUGACACGUAGGUGAAGUGAUUUACUCAUGGAGCUGAAGUCAGUCGAAGAUACCAGCUGGCUGCAACUGUUUAUUAAAAACACAGCACUGUGCAAACACGAAAGUGGACGUAUACGGUGUGACGCCUGCCCGGUGCCGGAAGGUUAAUUGAUGGGGUCAGCGCAAGCGAAGCUCCUGAUCGAAGCCCCGGUAAACGGCGGCCGUAACUAUAACGGUCCUAAGGUAGCGAAAUUCCUUGUCGGGUAAGUUCCGACCUGCACGAAUGGCGUAAUGAUGGCCAGGCUGUCUCCACCCGAGACUCAGUGAAAUUGAACUCGCUGUGAAGAUGCAGUGUACCCGCGGCAAGACGGAAAGACCCCGUGAACCUUUACUAUAGCUUGACACUGAACAUUGAGCCUUGAUGUGUAGGAUAGGUGGGAGGCUUUGAAGUGUGGACGCCAGUCUGCAUGGAGCCGACCUUGAAAUACCACCCUUUAAUGUUUGAUGUUCUAACGUGGACCCGUUACCCGGGUUGCGGACAGUGUCUGGUGGGUAGUUUGACUGGGGCGGUCUCCUCCUAAAGAGUAACGGAGGAGCACGAAGGUUGGCUAAUCCUGGUCGGACAUCAGGAGGUUAGUGCAAUGGCAUAAGCCAGCUUGACUGCGAGCGUGACGGCGCGAGCAGGUGCGAAAGCAGGUCAUAGUGAUCCGGUGGUUCUGAAUGGAAGGGCCAUCGCUCAACGGAUAAAAGGUACUCCGGGGAUAACAGGCUGAUACCGCCCAAGAGUUCAUAUCGACGGCGGUGUUUGGCACCUCGAUGUCGGCUCAUCACAUCCUGGGGCUGAAGUAGGUCCCAAGGGUAUGGCUGUUCGCCAUUUAAAGUGGUACGCGAGCUGGGUUUAGAACGUCGUGAGACAGUUCGGUCCCUAUCUGCCGUGGGCGCUGGAGAACUGAGGGGGGCUGCUCCUAGUACGAGAGGACCGGAGUGGACGCAUCACUGGUGUUCGGGUUGUCAUGCCAAUGGCACUGCCCGGUAGCUAAAUGCGGAAGAGAUAAGUGCUGAAAGCAUCUAAGCACGAAACUUGCCCCGAG
This 2779-nucleotide ribosomal RNA is filed under the name Salmonella enterica subsp. enterica serovar Enteritidis. Its description in RNAcentral is "partial 23S ribosomal RNA". It matches the Rfam family "Bacterial large subunit ribosomal RNA". Lineage: Bacteria; Pseudomonadati; Pseudomonadota; Gammaproteobacteria; Enterobacterales; Enterobacteriaceae. The record is from RNAcentral.